GCCGGUAUAGGCUAAAUGGUUAAACCACACCAUUCAUACUGGUAGAUUGUAGGGUUCGAGUCCCUCUUCCGGCU
Molecule: transfer RNA, 74 nt
Filed under: Jaminaea angkorensis
Lineage: Eukaryota; Fungi; Basidiomycota; Exobasidiomycetes; Microstromatales
Description: tRNA-Met
Rfam family: tRNA
About the family: Transfer RNA (tRNA) molecules are approximately 80 nucleotides in length. Their secondary structure includes four short double-helical elements and three loops (D, anti-codon, and T loops).
Source: RNAcentral